This 870-nucleotide ribosomal RNA is filed under the name Seimatosporium corni. RNAcentral's name for it is "eukaryotic LSU rRNA". It matches the Rfam family "Eukaryotic large subunit ribosomal RNA", at positions 65 to 960 of the family's 3401-position model. The record is from RNAcentral. Lineage: Eukaryota; Fungi; Ascomycota; Sordariomycetes; Amphisphaeriales; Sporocadaceae.
ACAACAGGGAUUGCCCUAGUAACGGCGAGUGAAGCGGCAACAGCUCAAAUUUGAAAUCUGGCCCUUGGGUCCGAAUUGUAAUUUGUAGAGGAUGUUUUUGGUGCGGUAUCUUCCGAGUUCCUUGGAACAGGACGCCUUAGAGGGUGAGAGCCCCGUACGGUUGAAUGCCUAGCCUUUGUAAAACUCCUUCGACGAGUCGAGUAGUUUGGGAAUGCUGCUCUAAAUGGGAGGUAAAUUUCUUCUAAAGCUAAAUACCGGCCAGAGACCGAUAGCGCACAAGUAGAGUGAUCGAAAGAUGAAAAGCACUUUGAAAAGAGGGUUAAAUAGCACGUGAAAUUGUUGAAAGGGAAGGAUUUAUGACCAGACUUUUUCUGGGCGAAUCAUCCGGUGUUCUCACCGGUGCACUUCGUUCAGUUCAGGCCAGCAUCGAUUUUCGGGGCGGGAUAAAAGCUUUAGGAAUGUGGCUCCCUCGGGAGUGUUAUAGCCUAUUGUAUAAUACCGCCCUGGGGAUCGAGGUACGCGCUUCUGCAAGGAUGCUGGCGUAAUGGUUAUUAAUCACCCGUCUUGAAACACGGACCAAGGAGUCGAACAUUUGUGCAAGUGUUUGGGUGUUAAACCCUCACGCGUAAUGAAAGUGAACGGAGGUGAGAGCCCUUUACGGGGUGCAUCAUCGACCGAUCCUGAUGUCUUCGGAUGGAUUUGAGUAAGAGCAUAAAUGUUCGGACCCGAAAGAUGGUGAACUAUGCGUGGAUAGGGUGAAGCCAGAGGAAACUCUGGUGGAGGCUCGCAGCGGUUCUGACGUGCAAAUCGAUCGUCAAAUCUGCGCAUGGGGGCGAAAGACUAAUCGAACCAUCUAGUAGCUGGUUACCG